This 6546-nucleotide long non-coding RNA is filed under the name Sus scrofa (pig). RNAcentral describes it as "lncRNA (ENSSSCG00000056981.1)". The record is from RNAcentral. Lineage: Eukaryota; Metazoa; Chordata; Mammalia; Artiodactyla; Suidae.
AACCCCAGACUUGCAGUGGUAGUUAUAUUGCUCUCUGAUACUAUAAUGUAUCCCACUAUUGGUGAGUCCAGGCUGAGUACAGCCAACUAGUAAACCCUCUGAAAUGUGGGAUUAUAAGAGGAAGAAUGCACCCAGGAGAUAAGGAAAGUAAAAUUUGUAGAGUGGAACUUGAGGUCAACCUUAAUUGAUGAUGUAAAAGCUGGCUCCUUCAUAUGCAGCCCAGGCUAGUGUUCCAAAUUUCUCUUUCACUCACCCUCACCACCCACAUUUUAUUUUGUAAAAAAAUAUAAAUUUUACUUUUUAUAUCAAUCAUAAUAUAACUACGUGUACCCUUUAGCCAUUACACUGUUUGAAAAGUAGAUGAGCCCUCUAUUUGAUCACUUAGUCACCUCACAUCAUUUUCCCAUCCCUUCUCAUGUCUUAGACUCCAUAAGUAUUUGGGUUCUUUGUUUAAUGCUACCAUAUGGCUUUUCUCAUUUGUCUGGAUUUUCAUUCCCCAUCUUUGCACAGAUAAACCCAGUGUUUGUAUUUUACCAUUACACAGUAUUUAUAAAAUCAGUAACUAUGAAGACCCCUGACAUUUACUGUAACAGACUUCUCUAUUGGCAGUCGUCAUAACCUAGGAAACAAGGAGGGGCAUGAGAAGGAGACUAUUCUCUCAGACUUGGAGUUCACUCAAAGCCCCAGCUGAUUCUAUGUUCUUAAAAAAUUGUCAGUGUGUCCUGUACAUUGUCAUCUCUUCUUACUCUCCAGACAGAAUUUAUCCAAAUUGAUGCAUUAGUGUCUAAAGAGGAUGAACAAAGUCUCCAAUGAGGCAGGAACACAUAACUCAUUUACCCAGUUUGUAAUACUGGAAGACUGGUGAAUAGUAUUUCAAAACUUACAUCCAAAUGCCUUUACCCAAAGUUGAAAAUGAUUCAAAUAUUCAUAUAAUUGGAAAUUCCUAUUAUUCCACUUUGCUGUAUGCAUAGCAGAAGGUCUCUAAGACCUAAUGAAAAUCUUUCUAUUUGUGCAAGUUAAAAGAUUCUGCAUUUUCCCGUUUUCCAUGAUGGUGUACAUACUUUAAACACCAAAAGAUUAAGAAGCUUAGAAAAAUUGUAUAGGGGUGACCUGAAUAGAUAAAUAAAAGUGUUAAUCUGUGAGAAGAAAGUUUGAAUUAGAAAUUGGCUCAUUAGAAGUGAUGGUAUUAUGGAACAAGUAAGUAGAUAAGGAUGGAAGAUUAGGUCCACCGACAGCAGAGUCUUAAUAAUUUGCCAUACUAUCACAUUGAUCAACUUAGUGCCUACAAAUUGUGUAUUAUUAGUGGAAAAUGUAGAAAGUCUAUCAGUAAUGUGUAAAAUAGAAAAGCAAACUAGCACUUUACUUGGUACAAUAUAAUGGGGCCAAUGACCAAUGAACCAUGAUAGUAGAAACCACAUUUUAAAAUUAAUAAAUGAAAGAAUUGCAUGCCCUUUAAAUGACCCACGUGUCCUUUUUUUUAUUAUUAUUACUUUCAUGGCUCUUUACAUCCAAGCAUUUGCUCAUUUUUCACAGUUUUAAUAAUGAGUACUAGUCAGCAUUGCUUAAUUUGUGCACAGGGGAGGCAAUACUUACAGCAAAGCAAUAAGUGAAACAAUUCCUGUUUUUGUCAUGGCUCCUUUUUCGUGAGGUCUAGGAGCAAAUUGAGGAUCAUAAUUCUUUUGGAAUGGAUAAAAUAAUAUUUUAGCAUCUUUUACUCUCAAAUGCCAAAUGUGAUUAUUCUGUCUAGUAGGAAUGGGGUAUUCUUGGCUUUAUCUAAUUAUAUUGUUCAUAUUGAAAAAUACACCAAAUUAUUUUUUAGAUAUUGCCACUACUCUAAAAAGACCUCAUUCUCUCUCUCUCUCUCAUUGGCAGUUUUUUUCCUUUUGAUUCCUUUUGAUUUCUCUAUUCUGUUCCAAACUACUUAGAGACCCUAAUAGACAUUGCUUUUCUUUGUCACAAUGGAGUGAAAUUUAUAUUUUAUUAAUCUUUUAUUUUCCAAAUCCUUGAUAAACAAAAGCUUUUCCAAAAAUAUUUAAAUGAUUCUCAAGGGUUAUGUGUGUUCUAUGGCUAUACCAGAGAACUUUUUGACUCUCAUUCAAAUAAAAUUCCAGUUUGGGUGGAUGCUUUUUUAUUCUGUUUUCCAUGACUUGAAUUAAAGUUACUGAAAUGUUGAUCCUAAAAUAAGCAUUAAAAAAAUUCUGUGUCAUCUGGUCGAUUUAAUAGUAGUGAAAGGCACUGUCCCUGUUAGGAUCUGGGCUAUUGUGUCUUACCCUAGGUGACUUGUCUUAUAAAGACAAAUAGAGAUGACACUCUCUGCCUGGUUCCUUAUACCUGAGGGUAAGGCUUGCAAAAAUGAGAAAAUAUCUGUGAAGUGUUUUGAGAUCUCUAGGUAAAAAGAAAUCUAUAGGUGAAAGCCAUCCUUGUUAUUAUAAAUGGAAAUAUAAAAGAUACCAGGGAGGUAAUUAUAGAAUCCAGAUCAUUUUCCAAAAACAUGGCAGUGCCCUUUCCCUCCCACCACCUACAAGAAAAGAGAAAACUCUGCUUUGAACCACUAAAGUGGGUGUAGGGAACACUCCUUAAACAUCUGUGCUUUGGAUAAUAUUAUUACAGACAUCAAUAGAUUUCCCCACUGGCUUUAUAUAAAUGAACAUUUACUUUGACAGGUCAUUCAAUAUGCUCCAUGCUGUCCAGCCAACAUACACUAUGGGAUGAAAUUAGAGAGCAGUCAGUUUUUGUCAGCAGGAAUAUAUAAUUACGAUGUGUACCAAGUGUCUACCUGGGAGCUCCAUUAAAUUACUGUGUAAUUAAAAGGCAGUUUGUUUCUUCUCAAGCUACUACUUUUCUCAGAGUAUAUGGAACAUUCCUACGGCAGUUAUAGGAAUCCUGAUAUUUUAUAGAGGAGUCCAGAACACGAUGAAUAACCUCAAAGUAUAUAGAUGCCUGUUGCCUUCAUUAACCAUUCAUUGAGGGUCAAUUAAUUCUCACCUAUUUUUAUUUAUUUAUUUUCUUUUUUGGCUACCCCUUGGCAUAUGGAGUUCCUGGGCCAUUGUUCAGACCCGAGCCACAGUUGCAGCCUUUGCCACAGCUGUGGCAAGGAAGGAUACUUUAACCCACUGUUCCUGACAAGGGAUCUAACCUGUGUCCUGAUGCUGCAGAGACACCAUCCAUACUAUUUCGUCACAGCAGGAACUCCAAUUCCCAUAUAAUUUGUUUUGCUAUUUCAAAUAAAAAAUGCUUUGCUCUUUCUAGUGGCCAAACACUUAGAAUUGGAUAACAUAGCAAAUAGUUUAUCACAUUUAUAAAAAUGAUACAACACCCUGCCUCCACUUUUUCAUUUAGUGAAAAGAGUACAGUGCGUUUUGGAAAAUGUGCUCCUGAAAAUGCCAGGCUUAUAGUCGAUGUUGGAUCCUGUUCCACUUCAGAAAUUCCAGCUUCAGUGAUAAAAGCACAGCAGCAGAUUGUCAGAUUUGUUAUUUAUUUAUUCAUUUUUUGGUCUUGCCUGUGGCACAUGGAAGUUCCUAGACCAGUGAUGGAACUUGAACCAUAGCAGUUACCUGAGCCACAGCAGUGAUAACACUGGCUUUUUAAUCACUAGGCCACCAGGGAACUCUCUUGUUAUGCAUUUAAAUAAACAGAUAUUAAGUAGAUAAUUGAUAAAUAGUGACAAAAGAGCAUUCAGCAAUAGUUUUUUUAUUUUAUAAUGAUUUUUAUUUUUUCCACAGUAAUAAAAUCUAGCCAAAGUUUUUUAAUGUUUUCUUCACAUUUGGUUAUAACUAUAAGGCAGGGACUACAAAGAUCUUGACUGUGCUUCAAAGUGCAUAUGACUAAGGACAAUACUUUUCAAUUGGAGAUGCUUAUAUAGUCCAAAUUUCAAGUCACCCUAGAAAAUAUUAAGGGGAAACAAAUGGCUGCAGCAGAAAUUUGCAAUUCAAAUAGUGCCAUUUUCUCUUUUGUGCAGCAAAUUCUUCUUUCAUUAAAAAAGGGGGAAAAAAGGAGAAAAUAACCUCAUGCUGUGAAAACCUACCAUACAGAUUAAGGUUGUAAUAGGUGUUAAUUGCUUUAUCAUAGCACUAUUGUUUUUCAUGUAAUUUUAUCAAUACUUCUCAGAGUUCAGUUUAUGUUUUAAAAUAUUUUGCAUUUAAUCAUAAUUACCUGCACUUUUCUCAUACCCUUUUGCAAUUCUGGUUAUUAAGGUCCUCUGUGUAAUGAAAUAUGUGUGUUAACAUUUAUUGGGUAUUGCUUUUAAUCUUUUCUGCAUUUAUACUUGAGCCUUCAGUAAAGCAGUGCAGGGGUACAGCCCCAUGAAAUUUCCUCAUGGGGAUUUUUUGUCCUUCAAGAAAAUUUUAAGAUUUACAUUGUUAAUUUUUCUAUCAAAGCAUAUAUCAAAAUGUCACAUGUAGAUCUUGCUACAGUGCCCCAAGUCAGCUGAAUAAGAGGUGAGUUCAGCCACCUAAAAGACAUAAAGAGAUGGGUGCAAAAGGGAGGAAAUCAUUGAAGGUAAUUUUACAGUUCUGCAAAAGAGAGCUAAGGUAUGCCCUGGAAUUCUGCAUAGGAGGUGGAAUUUAUUUUCCAAACAUCUUCCAGGAUUCAUCCUGUGGUGAAGAUUGAUUUUUCAGGUGUAAAGAAACUUUGGCAGAGAGGAAAAUAAGUGCUACAUAGAAGAUGAAAAUAGGAGGUAGAGGAUCUGUCCAUAUCACUCUAAAACAAGUUUGCACAGUAAAAAUAAAGGCACCUGAGUAUUAUGGCACAUACAUUGGGCUGGGCACAAAUUUGAUUAUUUUUCUAAACUAACAGAUUUGCUUUGGGAUUACACGGACCGAGUCUGAGUAGAUUAUAAGGGAAAGUAAUGCCUCACUUCCCUCCCCAGCACAUAUACAAGUUGUGCAUCUGAUAUACACACAUGCACAGGCAAACACCUUUUUUAUAACCAACAUACGAUUUGCAUUUUGAACAGUGAAUGAAGUUUGGAGAAAUAGAAAAUAAUUACACUUAUGUUUAAGCUCCAAGAAGGACAUACACACACAUAUAACGCAAUGAGUGUUUCACAUACCUUCUUUUCAUCUUCGUUUGUAUAUAUAUAUUUUCACUGCUGGAAUUUUUGUUCUUGCUCCCUACUUCUCUUCCUACUGUUGUGUAUGUGUUGCCUUAGAGGAGGGAUGGAAGGUAGACAAUGUCUAAGUUCUCCUGGCUUUGCUUUCUGCAAACUAAAACUUUGUAAAAACACAGAGCUUUUAGAACCUCAGUAAAAUGGUGGGGAGAAACAGAAUGAAAAAGAUCCUGCUGUCUUAGGAAACAGAUUCCCUAUGAAUCAGAAGUAAGGAAAGAAAAUAUGUUGAAAUGCUGAAAAUAAGGUUCCCUUUCCCUUUCUCACAGGAAGCCCAUGAAAACCUGUUCAUGAUAUUAAUUAGGCAGGACCACAGAGAGUUUUCAGUGAGUCCUAGGUCUUUGGUAACACCAUAGCAUCAGAAAUAACCCCAUUAAUCCAACAUUGGCUGGGCUACGUCAGAGCUGGUAGCCCUUAAGGUGUCAUGAAGACAAAUAGUGCAAAUGAAGUUGCUGUUAAUCUAUGCUGACUAAUGACUAUAAAAAUAAAUUUCCCAUUUGCCAAUGCCUUAGCUCUAUGUAGCCUUCCCAGUAACAUGAUAUAACCCCAAAGAACUCUCAGAGACUAUGUAUCAAUUUUCCUGAAAAGGGAAAAAUUUCCCCUUUUCUCUAACCCUAGUAGAUGAAGGCUUGAGACUGAAAUAAUUUUAUAAUACAAAAUACAAUAUACAAAGUUAAGAAUACAGGUAAUGAACAUGAAAAGAGUCUAAGCACAGUAGAAAAGAGGAUUAGUGAAUUGAAUGACAAGGCAAUAGAAUUUCAACUGAAGCACAAGAAGAAAAUAGAAGAGAACAGUGAGUAAAAGACAUAGAAAUCCACCAUAUGAUUUCACUUAUAUCUGGAAUCUAAUAUAUGGCACAAAUGAAUCUUUUCACAGAAAAGAAAAUCAUGGACAUGGAGAACAGACUUGUGGUUGCCAAGAGGGAAGAGGGGGAGUGGGAUGGACUGGAAAUUUGGGGUUAAUAGAUGUAAACUAUUGCCUUUGGAAUGGGUAAGCAAAGGGAUUCUGCUGUAUAGCACUGGGAAGUAUGUCUGGUCCUUUGUGAUGGAGCAUGAUAAUGUGAGAAAAUGAAUGCAUACAUGUAUGUGUGACUAGAUCACCUCAUUUUGCAGUAGAAAAUUGACAGAACACUGUAAACCAGCUAUAAUGGAAAAAACAAAAAUCAUUAUUAAAAAAUAUAACAAAAAAAAUAGAGAAUUCCCCCAGACUGAUAAAAGAUCUCAACCCACGUAUUUCAGAAGAUCAGUGAAACCUAGAUGGGAGAAAUACAAAGAAAAUCACACAGAUACUUCAUAGUUAAAUUGUUGAAAAUCAAAGUUAAAGAAAAAAAGCCUUAAAGCAGACAAGGGAAAUAGAUACAUUAUCUUCAAAGAAGCAGCAGUAAAACUGAUAUCCAACUUUUCAACAGAAACUAUGAAUCCAGAAAACAAUAAAAAGGCAUU